This 73-nucleotide transfer RNA is filed under the name filamentous cyanobacterium Phorm 46. Its description in RNAcentral is "tRNA-Phe". It matches the Rfam family "tRNA". From Rfam's summary of the family: Transfer RNA (tRNA) molecules are approximately 80 nucleotides in length. Their secondary structure includes four short double-helical elements and three loops (D, anti-codon, and T loops). RNAcentral also lists the same sequence under 5 other names. Lineage: Bacteria; Bacillati; Cyanobacteriota. The record is from RNAcentral.
CCCCCGAUAGCUCAGUUGGUAGAGCGCUUGUUUGAAGAACAAGAGGCCGUCAGUUCGACACUGACUUGGGGGA